GCAGUUUUGGUUCUGGGAACAUGUCCAUGUUGAGGAAGGAAGCUAUAAGCUAAGUUACAGUAAUCGGUUACCACCUCUGAUGUCAUAUUGGAAUGAAAAAAAUGUCUCCUCAAGAAACAAAUAUGAUAUCAAGUAUGGACCAGGACAUGGAAAAGUAAGAUGUACUGACCAUCUCCGCUUUGAUUACUCUUUUUUUUCUCUAUUACACAUUAUGCAUACAGUAUGAUUAAGUUCUUUUCCACCACUGAAUCAGGUUGUGUUUGAAAUCCGAAUUCCUGAAGACAGCUCAGAAGAAUUCCACUCCCAAAAAGAACCGUAUGAAAAGUACUACCACAGUAUGCAGCAACCUUGUUCUGAUUGUCCAAACUCUACAUUUCAGAACGAAAGAUUUGAAACUCAACCGCGGAGGUACACAUUUGAGCAAGCAGAAUGUGGUCUGAACCCAUCAUUAAAUGAACUUCCCACACAGGUAAUUCUUUAAGGCUACCUACUGCAAAUUUAUUCAGUAAGAAUUUUAAUGAAUAGAGCAUUACCUUUGCAGGUAGCUAAACCUUUUAUCCUUUUUCCAGAUUUCAGCCCACUUCGAUCUCCUUAUGGAUCAGAUCCUGCAGUUACAGAGAAUCAUCCAAUUUGUUGACAACAAAUUGACCAUCAAACUACUGUCAAUUGAAAGUACGCUGGCAAAAAGUAGAAAAGAUAUUCAGGUCAUAAAUUCUAACAUUCGUAGUUGUUCAAUUUCAGUACAGUUCUUUCAUGACAACUUGAUAAAAUUUGAAACAUGCAGGAGCUUAAGUACUCGAUGAACAUGGCUACAAGAUCAAUCCCAGCUGAUGGAGUUGAUUGCAGUGAUGACAAUAUUUUCAAUGAAGAUAAUCUAAGAUGCAGUAUGCUGCAGGCUGAGAAAGAAAACAAUACUAUGGUGCCAACCUAUUUCUGACCCUAUUAUUUGUCAGCCUAUGAAACAAGAGAAACUAACCUUCUGUCCAUACAUUACAGUUUUCCAUUGAAAGUGAACACGCUGUAGGAUCGAAUAAGAUCAAACAAACCUACCAGAGGGGGGGUGAAUGGUAGGGAAAAACAAAACCCAAAAAUCUUUCGCGGAAUAAAGGAUUACCUCUGUCGAAGAAAUUGACGAAGACUUGCUACCUUGAUCACGUCGCUCCUGUGUCGCCGCUACCUUGAUCGCGCCGCUCAUGUGCCGC
This 1202-nucleotide long non-coding RNA is filed under the name Oryza brachyantha (malo sina). RNAcentral's name for it is "long non-coding RNA (OBRA_LNC001407)". Lineage: Eukaryota; Viridiplantae; Streptophyta; Magnoliopsida; Poales; Poaceae. The record is from RNAcentral.